Long non-coding RNA from Oreochromis niloticus (Nile tilapia), 255 nucleotides. RefSeq lists it as uncharacterized. The record is from RefSeq and is a predicted model, not a curated record. NCBI's taxonomy places the organism in Eukaryota, Metazoa, Chordata, Actinopteri, Cichliformes, Cichlidae. The transcript has 2 exons.
GUUUUAAAUUAUAAAAUAGCCAUUAUAUCCACACCAAGUUCUAGUUUGAAUAUUACUGUUUCAAAUCAGUUCCUUUCACCGUGAGACCCUGAGAGUAGGUCUACUACACUUGGAACCUUUCCUAUAACUUCAUUAGUUGGCCUCAUCACUGAUGGGGACGACAAGGAGUACAGAGGACUGACUCAAGACUUUGUGGACUGGUGCCAGCUGAACUACCUCCAGAUCAAUGCCAGUAAAACCAAGGAGCUGGUGGUA